UACGGAGGGUGCAAGCGUUAUCCGGAUUCACUGGGUUUAAAGGGUGCGUAGGCGGUUUGGUAAGUCCGUGGUGAAAUCUCCGAGCUUAACUCGGAAACUGCCGUGGAUACUAUCAAUCUUGAAUAUCGUGGAGGUAAGCGAAAUAUGUCAUGUAGCGGUGAAAUGCUUAGAGAUGACAUAGAACACCAAUUGCGUAGGCAGCUUACUACACGAUCAUUGACGCUGAGGCACGAAAGCGUGGGGAUCAAACAGG
RNAcentral lists this ribosomal RNA (253 nucleotides) under uncultured bacterium. RNAcentral describes it as "partial 16S ribosomal RNA". It matches the Rfam family "Bacterial small subunit ribosomal RNA", at positions 524 to 776 of the family's 1533-position model. The record is from RNAcentral.